This 319-nucleotide ribosomal RNA is filed under the name Rhipicephalus compositus. Its description in RNAcentral is "partial 12S ribosomal RNA". The record is from RNAcentral. Lineage: Eukaryota; Metazoa; Arthropoda; Arachnida; Ixodida; Ixodidae.
AGUAAAUAAAAAUUGUGAAAGCAAAAAAUUAUGGCGGUAUUUUAAGCUUUUCAGAGGAAUUUGCUCUUUAAUGGAUAAAACACCCAAAUCUUACUUAAAUUUGUUAAAUCAAUUUGUAUACCACUAUAAAAACAAUUAAUAACUUUAAUUGUUAAAAAUUAUUUACAUUAAAUUAUGUUAAGUCAAGGUGCAGUAAAAAUUUAAGAAUGAAGUGAAUUACAUUUCUUUUUAGAAACAAGAAAUUAAAUUUAUAAAUAGGAUUUGAAAGUAAAAUUAAAAUAGAAUGUUAAUUUGAAUAAAGCUCUAAAAUAUGUACAUA